RNAcentral lists this ribosomal RNA (253 nucleotides) under uncultured bacterium. Its description in RNAcentral is "partial 16S ribosomal RNA". It matches the Rfam family "Bacterial small subunit ribosomal RNA", at positions 524 to 776 of the family's 1533-position model. The record is from RNAcentral.
UACGUAGGGAGCAAGCGUUGUUCGGAUUUACUGGGCGUAAAGGGCGCGUAGGCGGCAACUCAAGUCAUCUGCGAAAUCUCCGGGCUUAACUCGGAACGGUCAGAUGAUACUGUUUUGCUAGAGUGCAGAAGGGGCAAUCGGAAUUCUUGGUGUAGCGGUGAAAUGCGUAGAUAUCAAGAGGAACACCUGAGGUGAAGACGGGUUGCUGGGCUGACACUGACGCUGAGGCGCGAAAGCCAGGGGAGCAAACGGG